GAAUCCAGCAGUGCCUCCGAAGCCCAAAUGACUUCAGAUCCCGUCUGCAGCAGGUGGCAGGCUUUUCUGGAUUUGGUGGCUCCUGUGGCCUUUGUGGCUCCUGUGGCUUUUGUGGCUUUCAUGGCUUUUGUGGAACAUUCCUUUCCUGUUGGUCCCUGGUAACCUGGCAUGUGUUAAAUCCCAAAUACUCUUUUUAUCUUUAAUGACGUUUAAUUUGAGUGGGGUCAACAUAAAUCUAUUGAAGGUUGUAGAACAUUUAUUUAAAGUGAUAUUUGUGCAAAAUAUACGUCCUGAGCAGAAGAGAUUUUUCGACCCUCUGUUCUCAGCUAGGAAGGGAUCUGAAUAAAGUAAGGCCAGGUGCCCACCCAGGAAAACACUUGGCUUUCAGCUGUGUCACUGUUUUCCAUGACUCCUGCUUUUAGUGGGGAAGGAGGGCUGUGGCCUUCCAGUGCUCGGCUGUGGUUUGCAGGCGUCCAUGUCAUCUGCACCUGCAGCCCAGGCUACUGCCACGCCCAGCAAGCCAUCUUCCUGCACCUCAGACGACGCUAAGAUCCCUCCUCUCCCAUGUAGAACAUUGUGGCAAGGAAGCCUGGUUUCUCUUCGCGUUGCUUGUCAGCCCACUGCUGUGAAAGUGCGUCCUUAUCUGAGUCACCGCUGCAUGGAAGCGGACUUGCUGCUCUCCAGAAACCAGGAACGCUGGCGGUAGAUUCGAAUGCUGGGGCUUAAUCACCUAAAGGAAAGAGUGCAGGUUAGAGAGGGACGUGAGUGCUUCCGUGGAAAGGGCUUGGAUGGAACGGAAGGGCCGCUGGGACACCAUCUCCCUAAAGUCAGGGACCACCUCUGUCCCGCUGGCCAUGGUGAGAGCACAUGUUUGAGCACAUGGUGAGAGCACACAGCUGUUUGUGAAAUGAGAGAAUGAAUGAAUAAACGAGCGCGUGAAUCAUGGUGACAGAAAGGUCACUGGAGAGGACGGUGCUGAUGAAUGAGGAUGACGACACGCAGAUGGAUCCGUCUCUGUCCUCCGCGCCCCACGCCCCGCGCAGGCAGAACUGCUGCUGUCCACAGACAUGUCUGGGAACACCUGGCUGCAGGGCAGGAAGCUGAGACAUUCUGCCUCCUCUGGAUUGUCCUGCGUGUGACGAGGGGUCCUCACUAAGCUGUCUUCUAACUAUAUUGGAUGUAGGGAGAAGACACAUUAUGUGUUUUUGAAAUUCAGCAAAUGCUUUUUAAAAAAGAGGGAUUCUCCAUUUUUAAGAGGUUCUCUCUGCUCAAAUAAACUCCAAAUGUUGAACUGGGCUGGCCUCACAUUCCUGUGAAUAACAAUAAUAAUAAUUGUAUUUAUUUAUUUUUUCUGUUAAAAAGAAAAAACAGAAAUCUUAAGUGAUCUUAUUUCUCUUCAAAGAGCAAAACAGCUUUGCAGGCAAGGUUUGGAGCCAACUCCAAAGGGUCGUCGAGAGCACGGCCGUGUCCCCGCACACGCCCUGUCCUUGGCGAGGCUCCUGCUGAAGCCUGGCCUCCGCGCCCUCUCUGUCCUCCUCAGACCCUGGUCUGGCUCCAGCCGCCUCCAGCACUGUGUGCCUGGGCCCCCUUCUGCCUUGCGCCAUCCCCCAGGGUGCCCCCUGGGCUCUCCUGCGCACAGACUGAGGGAUGUCCCCUCCCACCCCAGCAGGUUACUUAACCCUCUCUUUAGUAAAUAGAAAAAUAGAUCCUGCCUCAUAAGAUGCUUCUAAAAAUUGAAUAGUAAAG
Callithrix jacchus (white-tufted-ear marmoset) is the source of this 1746-nucleotide long non-coding RNA. Lineage: Eukaryota; Metazoa; Chordata; Mammalia; Primates; Cebidae. The record is from Ensembl.